RNAcentral lists this ribosomal RNA (225 nucleotides) under Escherichia coli. Its description in RNAcentral is "partial 16S ribosomal RNA". It matches the Rfam family "Bacterial small subunit ribosomal RNA", at positions 1 to 222 of the family's 1533-position model. The record is from RNAcentral. Lineage: Bacteria; Pseudomonadati; Pseudomonadota; Gammaproteobacteria; Enterobacterales; Enterobacteriaceae.
AAAUUGAAGAGUUUGAUCAUGGCUCAGAUUGAACGCUGGCGGCAGGCCUAACACAUGCAAGUCGAACGGUAACAGGAAUCAGCUUGCUGAUUCGCUGACGAGUGGCGGACGGGUGAGUAAUGUCUGGGAAACUGCCUGAUGGAGGGGGAUAACUACUGGAAACGGUAGCUAAUACCGCAUAACGUCGCAAGACCAAAGAGGGGGACCUUCGGGCCUCUUGCCAUC